Long non-coding RNA from Erpetoichthys calabaricus (reedfish), 250 nucleotides. RefSeq lists it as uncharacterized. Lineage: Eukaryota; Metazoa; Chordata; Cladistia; Polypteriformes; Polypteridae. The record is from RefSeq and is a predicted model, not a curated record. The transcript is spliced from 2 exons.
UUCUGAAGCGACAUUUGCACUGUUUUGUGUUUUUUGUAUCUCACACCCUCAUAUAUCUUUUUCGUAAGAGCAUCCCUUAUCUAUGAUGGAGCGUUUGAUCAGAUGAAAAUAUGAAGCUGGUUUUAAAUUAAAAGUCGUUGAAGUGGCGAAUGAAAUUGUAACUGCGCUGCUGCAACAAAAUUCGAUGUGUCCGAGAAACUGAUGCGAGAUUGGAGGAGGUAAGAAGAUGUAAAAAAAAAAAAAAAUGAAG